This is a long non-coding RNA of Strigops habroptila (Kakapo), 3830 nucleotides long. Lineage: Eukaryota; Metazoa; Chordata; Aves; Psittaciformes; Psittacidae. The record is from Ensembl.
GGAGGUCUAGUGCUGCCCGAUGACACGGCAGACGAGGUGCGUAUCCCUCCCGCCCGGGACCGGCUCGGCGCUCCCCUCGGUGUCCUGCUGACGAGCUGCCAGCGGGAGGUCUCUUUCUCCAUUCUACAGCUGAUCAGAACAUCACAGUGAUGUUCUCUUCUGGGUCUGGAGUGGAAAUAAGGGGAAGUGGAGGAUUUCUGACCCUGACAGUUCUGCUCCCAGAGAAGUUUAUGAAUCACACAGAGGGUCUCUUUGUGGUAAUGAAUGGCAACACAGACGACGAGGAUACCAAAAAACAUUAGGCCUUCUUAUUAUGGAAUCAUUGUCUGCCUAUCGUUUUCAGGAGACUAGCUGCAAAACUAGCUUGCAAAAUCAAGAAAUACAAGCUGCGAUUUUAAAUUGAAUACAAGGAUUUCACAAUAGAGACAAAUCACCAUUGGACCAAACUAUGAAGCCAGUGGUGGGUUCUCAUCACUCAGCAGAGAUGGAGUACCUGCAUGUAAGGUGUGUGUAAGCCAAACAUAAGAUUUUGAGCCUUGUACAGAAGUUACUGGAUGAAGGACCAAAGCCUGUGAAACAGUUCAUGUAUCCCGCUUCUUUCCUUAAACUAGGGUAUAAAUCAAAUUAGAAACCAAAUUUUCUAUUCUAGGAUCACAGAAGUGUCUGUCACAUCACUCUGCCAUCACUGUGUGCCAGGCUGUACUUUGGGCAGUUCUUCCUGCAGGCAUGACAAAGCAAUGCAAGGAAGGGCUGGCAAAAACGCAGCCCAGAUGCAUUAAAGCUCAGAUGCACCACUGUUGGCCUAUCUCUGAUUAGGCUGCAUGCUCCCUGAUACAUACCGAUACUGCUAUCACUAGGUACAGAAAAAGGGCAGAGCCUUGAAUCUACUUUGACCGUAGGAUACUACAGUGUCUCAGAGCCAUGGAAUUACACUUCUGUCUGACUCUGUGACACUGAGCCGGGGACAAAGAUUGCUGACACAAGGACUUAAAAUUUUUCAAUGGUGCUACUCCAGCAGGUAUUUCCUUAAAGGAUACAAAAUUCAGGAAGCAUUGUUUCUCCCAGAAAGUUCACUCGAGACGCUGCAUCUCCUAAACUUUUACCAAUCCUCUCAUGUGUCAUGAAAAAUUUACUUGCCUACCUUUACCCUCCGUUGUUCACCACAGCCAUACAGCAUCUUGCUAGCACCAUCCUACAUCAGUAAGACAGUGACAGAACCGGUAUUAUGCAUGUAUUUAGUAGAAUAAGAAAACAAGAGGAGAUCUAUUAUUCAAAAUUUGCUUCCUAUCUGGCUUCUUUCUGUCUUUCAUGUGUCCUCAUUAUGCAGUCACAGAAAGAAAAUGACACUUUUAGCAUGUUCAUCCUGUACUCACGUCAGAACAGUCACUUCUGGCUCUCUUUUACAUAGACCAUUAAGCAGCAGAGGCAGUUUCAAAAUUAUAAUUCCAAAAUAGGGGCAAUUUUUAAAGCAAUCAAACUGUAUGGAGAAAGGAUCAAAAAAGAUCUCCUCUCACUCAUCUCUUCUGCAGGCUAAACAGGUCCAACUGUCUCAGCCUUUCCUCAUAAGAGAAAAGCUGCAGUCCCCUAAUCAUCAUCAUAACCCUUCACUGGACCCUCUCCAGUAGUUUCUUGUCUUUCUUGAUCUGGGGAGUCCAGAACUGGACAGAGUGCUCCAGAUGGAGCCUCACCAGCACAGAGUAGAGAGGGAGGAUCACCGCCCUUGACCUGCUGGCCACACUCUUCCUGAUGCACCGUAGGAUACCAUUUGCCUUCCUGGCCACAAGGGCACACUACUGCUGGCUCACGGGUUAACUUGCUGUCCACCAGGACUCCCAGGUCCUUCUCCGCAGAGCUGCUUUCCAGCAGGUCAGCCCCUAACUUGUGCUGCUGCAUGGGGUUGUUCCUCCUCAAGUGCAGGACCUUGCACUUACCUUUGUUGAAUUUCACUGGGCUCCUCUCCACCAAACUCUCCAGCCUGUCCAGGCCUCACCAAAUGGCAGCACAGCCUCUGGUCUAUCAGCUACUCCUCCCAGCUUUGUAUCACCAGCAAACUUGCUGUGGGUACGCUCUGGCUCUUCACCUGGGUUAUUGAUCAAUAAGUUGAAUAAGACUGCACCCACUACUGACCUCUGGGGAACACCACUAGCUGCAGGCCCACAUUCGUGGCGUGGACUACAAAUUAACCGCUAGCCAUCCUUCCUUUGUGUUCGAACAGCUUCUGCAGCCACUUGCUGUAACUGUCAAAUGUAGGAAUUACGUAUUUCUACUCUACCAGUUUGUUCCACAAAUACAAAGAACAGUAAAAUUAACAGCAUAUGUACAAUUUAAAAAAUUGUCACGUGACUACAUUCAAAGAGAUAUGAAGAAAUGUAUCGAUGUGUUCCUGAUGUGGGGUUUCUGGUGCUUAGAUUUGUACCUUUUUUUUUUUUUUUUCUUUUUUUGCUGUUUUUCAGAGAUCAGAUAAAGUAAUGCUGCUUGGCUGUGUAUGUGGAAGAGUUAGUCUUGCAGUUCUGACACGCCUGACUUUCUUAUGUAGGAAGGAAAGGUAGGCCUCAAUUGAGCUGAAAACACAGAUGAACCUGCUAGAGAAACAGCACGUGUUAUGACCUUUUUAAUAGUUUUUCUCAAUGACAAAGAAAUCUAACAUGGUAUUUUCCUGCUACUAUCUGUUAUGAAAAAACAUCAAUUCUGGAUAAUUCCUGUGUCCUGCUGGAAGACUAUGAAGCAAAGUUGGAACUGUAUUAUCAGGACAUGCAAACAUGAGAUUCAUUGAUUGACUGAUAAAAAACAUGACUUUUUGGUCAAAAUAAUUUAUUUGCUGAGUGAUAAGGCUCGGCAUUAAAAGUGUUCCGUUUCAGAACAGGUGUGCUUAUAAUACCAAUAGGUAAAUUUGAUGCAUCAUCCAAGGAAUGCAUUGCACGAUAAUGUAACUUUCCACAUAUCUUUGAACAUAUUCCCACUUUAAUGCAUGCAUGAAUUUGCCUAGAAAAUACUUAUAUGUCUCUUGUGCCAAACAGGCGAAUAGAAUUUAAAACUAUAUCAGUUUGCUGCCCAUUCAUGGAGCCUUUCUACCACACAGAAAUAAACUUGCUACAAAAACUAUUAAAAUUUUAAAAGAAAUCUCUACAAAACGUUACGUGGCUAAUAAAUUACUUCCCAGAGGUUUUACUACUUUGUUUUAAAAAGUUGUUAUGUUUUCAUAAAUUAUGUAUAUAGUUCAGUCUGUUAGCCAGUGCUGUUUUUGGCCCUGUGCCUUUCUAACAGGUUUAUCAUUUCAGAGACUCUUAAACCAGAACCCAGUAUGAGAGCUAUGCCCAUCACUGAAAAUACAGCCCAUUGAUUGAGUUCAGCCAUCACCUGUGUCUGUCAGAGGGCCAGAGACUGCUAAAUUUUGCUCCUUCCCUUUAAAUCACAUAAACAUUGUUUCCUACACUUCACAGAGAACGUUCAUACCCCAAACACUUUUUCUUCGUCCCCUGUACAAAAAAUGGACACUCCACACACUGUAGAUAACUGCAGCAAUUAAUGGUUUUUGCAUAUAUAAAAGUGCACAGAUAAAGGACACCUCCUGUAUUUGCCAGAUUUCACAUACACCAGAUUCCCACAUAAAAACCCAACUUGUUAAAGCACUACCAUUACAGCUGCAUAGACAUCUCCCAUUUGGGAGCAGCUUACAGACCUGCUGCCCUAAACUCAGAAUUGUACAUUAAAAAAUAAUUUAAAAAAAUAGAAUAAAGCCAUCAACCUUUCUAAACUCUUGUAUAUUUUGCAAAUCUGUAGGUAUUUUUCAUAUGCUACAAAAAGCUUAUAAUUUAUGAAAAAAAAAAAAA